GAUGAAGAACGCAGCGAAAUGCGAUACUUGGUGUGAAUUGCAGAAUCCCGUGAACCAUCGAGUCUUUGAACGCAAGUUGCGCCAGAAGCCAUUAGGCCGAGGGCACGCCUGCCUGGGCGUCACACGUCGUUGCCCCCCCAUCUACUCCUUCGGGAUUGCGGGGGGCGGAUGAUGGCCUCCCGUGCGCCUCGUCGCGCGGUUGGCAUAAAUGCCAAGUCCUCGGCGACGCACGCCACGACAAUCGGUGGUUGCGAAACCUCGGUUGCCCGUCGUGUGCGGUCGUCGCGCAUCGAGGGCUCGAAAAAAUUGCCGGGCUCCGGCUCGGCUUUCAACGCGACCCCAGGUCAGGCGGGGUUACCCGCUGAAUUUAAGCAUAUCAAUAAGGGAGGA
Molecule: unclassified non-coding RNA, 390 nt
Filed under: soil metagenome
Description: partial contains 5.8S ribosomal RNA, internal transcribed spacer 2, and large subunit ribosomal RNA
Rfam family: 5.8S ribosomal RNA (bases 1-122)
Source: RNAcentral